Long non-coding RNA from Columba livia (rock pigeon), 3026 nucleotides. RefSeq lists it as uncharacterized. Lineage: Eukaryota; Metazoa; Chordata; Aves; Columbiformes; Columbidae. The record is from RefSeq and is a predicted model, not a curated record. The transcript is spliced from 2 exons.
CGCUGCUGGAAAGUUCCAGUGGACGUUAGGGGAUCGACGUCAGCGUUACCCAAUGGCGAUCGGGCAGCCCCGGUCGGGGCGGGGUUCGCCGCGGCGGGGUGGGCUGGGUCGCGCGCCCCUUCCUCCUCCUCCCCCGGUUCCGUCUCCCCCUGAGGGGCGCGGGGGUUGAGGCGGGAGGGGGAGCGGGGCCGCUCAAGUGUUUGUGAUUCCUGAAAGUUCAGCCCGGCGCUGCGUGUCAACCCGCAGCCGGCCGCCAGCUGCCGGGGAAUUUACCCUUAUUUGGUCGCAAGGCGGCAGAAAUUCAACUCUCACACACACAAACCCCCGUUCCCGCCCCCUCUCCUUCCAGCCUCCCCCAGUCUCGUCACGGCGAACCCGCCGCCGCGACCCCCGUGAGGCAAAACCCUCCGCAGCGGGGGCGACUUCGCCCCGCCCCGCUAGGGCAGAGGGGGAGUUCCGCGCCCGCGAAGGCCGUUUUUAGCCUUAUUUCGGCUGAAGGUGGCGGGCUGACAGCCCCCCUCGCCCGGCCGCCCUCAGCAGCCGCCCCGAGCGCCGGGAACCCGCGGUGAGGGAGCCCGGCCCGGGUGGGAAGGCAGGGAACGGCGCCCGGCGUUCCCCUCUCAAAGUCGGGGUUUGGGGAGCUCUGGUGCCGCCUGUUUUCUGCCCGGUGACCAUUCUUGAAACGCCUCCAAAAUUUUUCUCUGUUGUGCUAAUGUAAAAUGUCGUCACGCCUAAAUUUAGCGAAAGCUACGAAGCUAUUGACUCGGAGCUAGGCAAGCGCUUUGAUGGAAAUAUAUUAAACAUGAAAAUCUGCUGCGGUUCCUCCAAAUUAUUCCUCCUUACUUUGAGACAAAUACUUCAAAGUACUCCAGUUGUAGUGAGGACAGCAAAAUACUCAGAUUUUUUUUCCCUUGGAGGCUUAGCGAGUAGCUCCUUUUCGAUAGCUACUUCAAAAGUGUGGCUGAAAGUCUGCUACCCCUAGACCAUCCGUGUUAUGUGAGAGAGGGAUUUAAACCACUGUGUAUUUAAAUCAUCUUUCAUUAGCUUUGUCUCCAGCCUUCAGCAUUGUGCUACAGCAGCCCUCACAGAAAAUGUGUUACAGCUUUUCCCAGGCUGAUUUGUGUUCAUGCUGUUAUUACAGAUACUCUUAACUCCCAUUCGAAACCUCCCUUGUUUCAAUUAGUAUAUUUUCCAAAGCCUUUUUACAGGACAUGAGGAUUCCACCCCUUUUGUGUGGUAUGUGUGCCUGUAGUUUUGAGAUGGAAGAGCUUCAAUUUCUGAUGAUAAAUAUUGUACAUGCUUAAAUAACUAUUAUUCUUUUACAGAUCCUGGUACUUUUUCACAUGGGCUCUGACUUUGGAGAAAUCGGAAAGAAGUCAAUGGAGAAUGGAAACCGUCAGCUCUCCCCGCUGCCACCAGGAGCUGUUCUGUAUAUGCCCAGGUGAAUGGGAAACACGCAGGAGCAGAUGAAGCAAGUAAUAACUGGAACUUCACCCUGUUGGUGGGACUGGCAUUAAUUCAGGUAUAAAAUGGAAUUAAAUGAGAAUAAUAAGCAGAUUUGUAAGAAUAUUUUAUUAAAGAUACUGUAUCAAAGCACAGAAUAAGCUUUAAAGAUGAUGAAAACUAACCUGGAAUGUCUUCACUUAUAACUCUACAUAAGCUACAAAUAAUUGCUAACUUACAGAACAGUGACAGCCUGUUCUACAUGUCCUACGCUCAAGUAUACUGUUGAAGGCUUAAAGAUAGGUGAUGCUAUAAACAUAUUUCCCUUCUCUCCUCUGCUUCGUGCCAGUCCUACCUGUUCUCUACAGAAAACACAUCCCAUUUUCUAUUAGAUUUCCCAGCUAUAUUGUACCUUCUCCCUGAGAAGUCCCCAGCGGUAUUUGGCUUUGUCCAGAUAUUCCCUCUCUUCCCCUUUGCUCCAGCACAGCCACUGGGACAGAAGCGCUGGCAUUCUGGUGUUGCACAGAAGGCUUUUAGAAUGCCUAUAUGUGUUAAUAGAGCUGGUACCUUCAACAUCUAUAUGCUGAAAUGUUUGGAGCUAUGUAAUUAGAUUAAGCAACCACAUUCAAAGAUACCUGAACAUCUUUUCUUGCAUUUGUUUAGCAACUUUAUAAACUCAAAAAAUGAGUAAAGCAAGCACAGACACAUGCCCUAUACAAGCUGCAAUACAGACAAUACUUUACACACUUCAUAACAACAGUAAUGAAAAUUAUGCCAAUUAUAAGUAAAAUUAUAGACAGAGUCUUCUUGAGAUAACAGUUAUACUGAACAAUGAAACAUCCUUUUAUCGUCAUGAGUAGAAUUAGUAAGAUGCAUAACUAGAGCAGAAUAUAGAUCAGCAUUUUUAGUCUGCUUACAUGUCUCAAUCUAAGCAACUGUUGUCUGGGAGAAGCAAAAGAAAUCAAUAUUGUUUUAACCUAUGCUGGUCCUAUUUUGAAACAUUUACUGCUUUGUUUGUUUGUUUCUGGGUUUUUUGUUGUGUUUGUUUGUUUGGUUUUGGGUUUUUGUGGGGGUUUUUUUGUGUUUUUGUUUGUUUUUCAUUAGGGUCUUUUCCCCAUUAUUUCAGCUGGAAACUUUAGGAUUCCUAAAAUGCUCAAAUCUGAACAUGAAUGCCUGAUUCUCCUCUUCAAGCCAGCUUUUGCAAGGCUUAGAUCCAGAACAAGGUGCACGCUGUGCCCUGUGAAGAUUAGUUCGCAUUUACUCAUCUCCUUGUUGGUCAAAAUUUUUCACCAUUCUUGUAAUAAAACCAGAGCACCAUUUCCUUACUCGCCACAUACAAGCACUGUGCUCCAUGGAAGGUCCUCUUCAGUUUGCAAAUGAUGAUCAUGGCAGCAGAGGGAAUACCAGGUCAGCUGGAUCUUUCUCACCUCCUGUCCUUCCUCAGGGACCCUCUGUCCUCAGUUUUUAUAAGAUUUUUUUUCACCUUGUACUCUUUUUUUAUUUAUUUUUUUUUCUUAAGCUCUUCAUAGUUUAGCAUUGUAACUGUCUGAAAAUACAUGGGUUUAGUUCAUGAGUACACACUU